Molecule: ribosomal RNA, 253 nt
Filed under: uncultured bacterium
Lineage: Bacteria
Description: partial 16S ribosomal RNA
Rfam family: Bacterial small subunit ribosomal RNA
Source: RNAcentral
UACGUAGGGUGCAAGCGUUGUUCGGAAUUACUGGGCGUAAAGGGCGCGUAGGCGGGCCCGUAUGUCGAUUGUGAAAGCUCAGGGCUUAACCCUGAAAUGGCAUUGAAUACUGUCGAGCUGGAGGUUUGGAGGGGGGACUGGAAUUCUUGGUGUAGCAGUGAAAUGCGUAGAUAUCAAGAGGAACACCAGUGGCGAAGGCGAGUCCCUGGACAACACCUGACACUGAGGCACGAAAGCUAGGGGAGCAAACAGG